UAAACUAGGAUUAGAUACCCUAUUAUUUUAUAUGUUAAUUAUUUACCAGGGUAGUAAUAGUUAUGUGCUUGAAACCUAAAGAAUUUGGCGGUGUUUUAGUCUUUUCAGAGGAAUUUGUCUUAUAAUCGAUAGUCCCCGUUUUAUCUUACUUAUUCUAGAUUAGUCAGUAUGUAUAUCGCCGUUAUAAGUUUAUUUUUUAAGGAUUUUUAAUUUACUAAUAAUUUUAUUAUAUGUUAUUUCAGGUCAAGGUGCAGCUAAUGUUUAAGUAUAGAUGGAUUACAAUAUUAUUUUAAUAUACGGAUUUUUUAAUAUUAAAUGGUUUAAUGAAGGUGGAUUUGAUAGUAAUUUUAAUUAUAGUGUUAUUUUGAUUUUAGCUCUAAAAUAAGUACACAUCG
This 395-nucleotide ribosomal RNA is filed under the name Haaniella muelleri. RNAcentral describes it as "partial 12S ribosomal RNA". The record is from RNAcentral. Lineage: Eukaryota; Metazoa; Arthropoda; Insecta; Phasmatodea; Heteropterygidae.